This 434-nucleotide ribosomal RNA is filed under the name uncultured Clostridium sp. RNAcentral's name for it is "partial 16S ribosomal RNA". It matches the Rfam family "Bacterial small subunit ribosomal RNA", at positions 341 to 792 of the family's 1533-position model. Lineage: Bacteria; Bacillati; Bacillota; Clostridia; Eubacteriales; Clostridiaceae. The record is from RNAcentral. RNAcentral also lists the same sequence under 2 other names.
ACGGAAGGCAGCAGUGGGGAAUAUUGCACAAUGGGGGAAACCCUGAUGCAGCGACGCCGCGUGAGUGAAGAAGUAUUUCGGUAUGUAAAGCUCUAUCAGCAGGAAAGAAAAUGACGGUACCUGACUAAGAAGCCCCGGCUAACUACGUGCCAGCAGCCGCGGUAAUACGUAGGGGGCAAGCGUUAUCCGGAUUUACUGGGUGUAAAGGGAGCGUAGACGGCUUUGCAAGUCUGAAGUGAAAGCCCGGGGCUCAACCCCGGAACUGCUUUGGAAACUGUAGAGCUAGAGUGCAGGAGAGGUAAGUGGAAUUCCUAGUGUAGCGGUGAAAUGCGUAGAUAUUAGGAGGAACACCAGUGGCGAAGGCGGCUUACUAGACUGUAACUGACGUUGAGGCUCGAAGGCGUGGGGAGCAAACAGGAUUAGAUACCCUGGUA